CGCCGUCACCCUCUCCCCCUGGGCAGCCCCAGCCCCAGCCCCAGCCGCAGCCCCAGCCGCAAAUGAGGAUGCAUCCCAGCGGGCAACAGCCCAGCCAGCCGUCGGCGGCGACCCAACCCCUGGAGUGGCUGCAAUCCGCGGAGCGGGGGUGGCCCGUCCAGGUGCUAACCGGGCCCCUGCCCACCCAGUGAGCCGUGGGUCCUCCGCGGGGCGGGUCCGAUUCGGGGGAAGAGGGGAGGGGAGGGAAAGAGGGAGAGCAUCGAGACGAGCAGGUUCUAAAGUUUCUGAAUGGUGGACACACACACGCGCACAUCGGCCGGUCUUGUGGUGUUCCAUCACAUCACUUGCACUAACCCCAACCUAAAUGUUAUGAUGCUCACUUAUGGCCGUACUGCAUCUUGUCGUACAUCACAUGCAGGUGGUGCGAGUAUUACUUGGCACAUCACACCCGG
RNAcentral lists this long non-coding RNA (452 nucleotides) under Volvox carteri. RNAcentral describes it as "long non-coding RNA (VCAR_LNC002926)". Lineage: Eukaryota; Viridiplantae; Chlorophyta; Chlorophyceae; Chlamydomonadales; Volvocaceae. The record is from RNAcentral.